Molecule: ribosomal RNA, 434 nt
Filed under: uncultured Ruminococcus sp.
Lineage: Bacteria; Bacillati; Bacillota; Clostridia; Eubacteriales; Oscillospiraceae
Description: bacterial SSU rRNA
Rfam family: Bacterial small subunit ribosomal RNA
Source: RNAcentral
ACGGGAGGCAGCAGUGGGGAAUAUUGCACAAUGGGCGGAAGCCUGAUGCAGCGAUGCCGCGUGAGGGAAGAAGGUUUUCGGAUUGUAAACCUCUGUCCUCAGGGACGAUAAUGACGGUACCUGAGGAGGAAGCUCCGGCUAACUACGUGCCAGCAGCCGCGGUAAUACGUAGGGAGCGAGCGUUGUCCGGAAUUACUGGGUGUAAAGGGUGCGUAGGCGGGACGGCAAGUCAGAUGUGAAAUGUAUGGGCUCAACCCAUAACCUGCAUUUGAAACUGUUGUUCUUGAGUGAGGUAGAGGUAAGCGGAAUUCCUAGUGUAGCGGUGAAAUGCGUAGAUAUUAGGAGGAACAUCGGUGGCGAAGGCGGCUUACUGGGCCUUUACUGACGCUGAGGCACGAAAGCGUGGGGAGCAAACAGGAUUAGAUACCCUGGUA